GACGAACGCUGGCGGCGUGCCUAAUACAUGCAAGUAGAACGCUGAAGGAGGAUCUUGCUUCUCUGGAUGAGUUGCGAACGGGUGAGUAACGCGUAGGUAACCUGCCUGGUAGCGGGGGAUAACUCUUGGAAACGAUAGCUAAUACCUCAUAAUAGCAGUUAUUGCAUGAUAACUGUUUGAAAGGUGCAAUUGCACCACUACCAGAUGGACCUGCGUUGUAUUAGCUAGUUGGUGGGGUAACGGCUCACCAAUGCGACGAUACAGAGCCGAGCUGCGAAGGUGAACGGGCACAAUGGGAAUGAGACAAGGCCCAGACUUCUAAGGGAAGCAGCAGUAGGGAAACUUCGGCAAUGGACGGAAGUCUGACCGAGCAACGCCGCGUGAGUGAAGAAGGUUUUCGGAUCGUAAAGCUCUGUUGUAAGAGAAGAAAGAGGGUGAGAGUGGAAAGUUCACACUGUGACGGUAUCUUACCAGAAAGGGACGGCUAACUACGUG
Molecule: ribosomal RNA, 495 nt
Filed under: uncultured bacterium
Lineage: Bacteria
Description: partial 16S ribosomal RNA
Rfam family: Bacterial small subunit ribosomal RNA
Source: RNAcentral